Molecule: small RNA, 135 nt
Filed under: Escherichia coli
Lineage: Bacteria; Pseudomonadati; Pseudomonadota; Gammaproteobacteria; Enterobacterales; Enterobacteriaceae
Also listed under: 1 other name
Description: sraL Hfq binding RNA
Rfam family: sraL Hfq binding RNA
About the family: The SraL RNA ('sra' for small RNA), discovered in E. coli, and later in Salmonella Tiphimurium.
Source: RNAcentral
GUUAGCACAAACCGGAACCUUGAAAGAGGGGUGCUGAUGCCGGGGGAAAACCCUCCUAGCCAGUGAGCAGGAUAACUAAAGGCCAGACCGAAAUUUUUGCAGUAAAACAAAGGCGCCUAGGGCGCUUUUUGUUUU